Molecule: ribosomal RNA, 460 nt
Filed under: uncultured bacterium
Lineage: Bacteria
Description: partial 16S ribosomal RNA
Rfam family: Bacterial small subunit ribosomal RNA
Source: RNAcentral
CCUACGGGAGGCAGCAGUGAGGAAUAUUGGUCAAUGGGCGUAAGCCUGAACCAGCCAAGUCGCGUGAGGGAUGAAGGUUCUAUGGAUCGUAAACCUCUUUUAUAAGGGAAUAAAGUGCGGGACGUGUCCCGUUUUGUAUGUACCUUAUGAAUAAGGAUCGGCUAACUCCGUGCCAGCAGCCGCGGUAAUACGGAGGAUGCGAGCGUUAUCCGGAUUUAUUGGGUUUAAAGGGUGCGUAGGCGGCCUUUUAAGUCAGCGGGGAAAGUCUGUGGCUUAAACAUAGAAUUGCCGUUGAAACUGGGAGGCUUGAGUAUGUGUGAGGCAGGCGGAAUGCGUGGUGUAGCGGUGAAAUGCUUAGAUAUCACGCAGAACCCCGAUUGCGAAGGCAGCCUGCCAAGCCAUGACUGACGCUGAUGCACGAAAGCGUGGGGAUCAAACAGGAUUAGAUACCCCAGUAGUC